CGCACAUUGCGCCCUCUGGUAUUCCGGGGGGCAUGCCUGUUCGAGCGUCAUUACAACCCUCAAGCUCAGCUUGGUAUUGGGUGCUACCAUCUUGGUACACCUCAAAGUCAGUGGCGGUGCCAUCUGGCUUCUAGCGUAGUAAUACUUUUCGCUACGGAGUUCUGGUGUUUGCUUGCCAUCAACCUCUAUUUUACUGGUUGACCUCGGAUCAGGUAGGGAUACCCGCUGAACUUAA
RNAcentral lists this unclassified non-coding RNA (235 nucleotides) under Helotiales sp. Its description in RNAcentral is "partial contains 5.8S ribosomal RNA, internal transcribed spacer 2, and large subunit ribosomal RNA". Lineage: Eukaryota; Fungi; Ascomycota; Leotiomycetes; Helotiales. The record is from RNAcentral.